AGGCUUAACACAUGCAAGUCGAGGGGCAGCGGGGGUAGCGAUACCCGCCGGCGACCGGCGCACGGGUGAGUAACGCGUAUGCAACUUGCCUAUCAGAGGGGGAUAACCCGGCGAAAGUCGGACUAAUACCGCAUGAAGCAGGGGCCCCGCAUGGGGAUAUUUGCUAAAGAUUCAUCGCUGAUAGAUAGGCAUGCGUUCCAUUAGGCAGUUGGCGGGGUAACGGCCCACCAAACCGACGAUGGAUAGGGGUUCUGAGAGGAAGGUCCCCCACAUUGGUACUGAGACACGGACCAAACUCCUACGGGAGGCAGCAGUGAGGAAUAUUGGUCAAUGGCCGAGAGGCUGAACCAGCCAAGUCGCGUGAGGGAUGAAGGUUCUAUGGAUCGUAAACCUCUUUUAUAAGGGAAUAAAGUGCGGGACGUGUCCCGUUUUGUAUGUACCUUAUGAAUAAGGAUCGGCUAACUCCGUGCCAGCAGCCGCGGUAAUACGGAGGAUCCGAGCGUUAUCCGGAUUUAUUGGGUUUAAAGGGUGCGUAGGCGGCCUUUUAAGUCAGCGGUGAAAGUCUGUGGCUCAACCAUAGAAUUGCCGUUGAAACUGGGGGGCUUGAGUAUGUUUGAGGCAGGCGGAAUGCGUGGUGUAGCGGUGAAAUGCAUAGAUAUCACGCAGAACCCCGAUUGCGAAGGCAGCCUGCCAAGCCAUUACUGACGCUGAUGCACGAAAGCGUGGGGAUCAAACAGGAUUAGAUACCCUGGUAGUCCACGCAGUAAACGAUGAUCACUAGCUGUUUGCGAUACACUGUAAGCGGCACAGCGAAAGCGUUAAGUGAUCCACCUGGGGAGUACGCCGGCAACGGUGAAACUCAAAGGAAUUGACGGGGGCCCGCACAAGCGGAGGAACAUGUGGUUUAAUUCGAUGAUACGCGAGGAACCUUACCCGGGUUUGAACGCAUUCGGACCGAGGUGGAAACACCUUUUCUAGCAAUAGCCGUUUGCGAGGUGCUGCAUGGUUGUCGUCAGCUCGUGCCGUGAGGUGUCGGCUUAAGUGCCAUAACGAGCGCAACCCUUGCCACUAGUUACUAACAGGUAAAGCUGAGGACUCUGGUGGGACUGCCAGCGUAAGCUGCGAGGAAGGCGGGGAUGACGUCAAAUCAGCACGGCCCUUACAUCCGGGGCGACACACGUGUUACAAUGGCGUGGACAAAGGGAGGCCACCUGGCGACAGGGAGCGAAUCCCCAAACCACGUCUCAGUUCGGAUCGGAGUCUGCAACCCGACUCCGUGAAGCUGGAUUCGCUAGUAAUCGCGCAUCAGCCAUGGCGCGGUGAAUACGUUCCCGGGCCUUGUACACACCGCCCGUCAAGCCAUGGGAGCCGGGGGUACCUGAAGUCCGUAACCGAAAGGAUCGGCCUAGGGUAAAACUGGUGACUGGGGCUAAGUCGUA
RNAcentral lists this ribosomal RNA (1439 nucleotides) under uncultured organism. Its description in RNAcentral is "SSU rRNA". It matches the Rfam family "Bacterial small subunit ribosomal RNA". The record is from RNAcentral.